AGCGAACGCUGGCGGCAGGCCUAACACAUGCAAGUCGAACGAACCUUUCGGGGUUAGUGGCGGACGGGUGAGUAACACGUGGGAACGUGCCUUUAGGUUCGGAAUAACUCAGGGAAACUUGUGCUAAUACCGAAUGUGCCCUUCGGGGGAAAGAUUUAUCGCCUUUAGAGCGGCCCGCGUCUGAUUAGCUAGUAGGUUGAGGUAAUGGCUCACCAAGGCGACGAUCAGUAGCUGGUCUGAGAGGAUGAUCAGCCACAUUGGGACUGAGACACGGCCCAAACUCGUGGGGGAGGCGCCAGGGGGAUACCGCGCGGAGGGGACGACGGCCGUCCGCGGCCGCGCGGCGUGAAGUAUGAACCUCUUAGUUAUGUAUAUGUCUCUCACCGUGUACGUCAACGCCGGUACCCGGAGACGCACCCCCCGCCCCCUGCGGCCCACACGCCGGGCUUACCCGCGGAACCGCCCCCGCCCCAUC
RNAcentral lists this ribosomal RNA (475 nucleotides) under uncultured bacterium. RNAcentral describes it as "partial 16S ribosomal RNA". It matches the Rfam family "Bacterial small subunit ribosomal RNA", at positions 28 to 524 of the family's 1533-position model. The record is from RNAcentral.